UACGAAGGGGGCUAGCGUUGUUCGGAAUUACUGGGCGUAAAGCGCGCGCAGGUGGUCUUUCAAGUCAGUGGUGAAAGCCCGGAGCUCAACUCCGGAAAUGCCAUUGAAACUGUGAGACUUGAGGACGAGAGAGGUGAGUGGAAUUCCCAGUGUAGAGGUGAAAUUCGUAGAUAUUCGCAAGAACACCAGUGGCGAAGGCGGCUCACUGGCCCGAUACUGACGCUGAUGCACGAAAGCGUGGGGAGCAAACAGG
This 253-nucleotide ribosomal RNA is filed under the name uncultured bacterium. Its description in RNAcentral is "partial 16S ribosomal RNA". It matches the Rfam family "Bacterial small subunit ribosomal RNA", at positions 524 to 776 of the family's 1533-position model. The record is from RNAcentral.